This 648-nucleotide long non-coding RNA is filed under the name Mus pahari (shrew mouse). Its description in RNAcentral is "lncRNA (MGP_PahariEiJ_G0012031.1)". The record is from RNAcentral. Lineage: Eukaryota; Metazoa; Chordata; Mammalia; Rodentia; Muridae.
UUCCAGAAGGCCCGCCAGGGUCUGAUUUGCCACUGUCUGCUUCCUCGGUGCCUUUGAAUGGGACCCUUGAUCCAAGGCUUUCAGAAACCAGCCGGUGCUGAUGGGGGUCCGUGACUUGGCGGUGGCGCCUGUUUGCUCCUUCUCUGUCUCGAGCAUGGUUUUCUAUCCUGCCGGGGAGGGCGAGAGCGCUGGGCAGAGGUGGCACCUGACCCGCUAGAACUCCGAUGUCACUGCUGUGGCUGUUACUCCCCUCGGCAAGAGUCAAGGCGCACGCAGGACGUGAACCCUGCACUGGACUGACCUCAUCUUUCCGAGGCUGUGAUAUUUCAGGAGAGUCUCAUUAUUGCUGAACAACUGAGACCACCAGGAGCCAGGUCCUAAGUGCAAAGAAUGGCUACAUCUCUCCUUCUGAAUGCCACCAGAUCAUUCCAGUCGCCUGCCUUUGUGGUGUCUCCAGACAAGGGCUGACAACCAUAGACGCGUCGCAGCCCUAAGGCUACUCAGAGAGAAGAACGUCUCUGGAGAAGGCGUGGGUGACUGAUUUUCAAGAAAUUGGCAACACGGAAGCUGAUUUUAAAAUAUUCAUAAGAAGUUGGCUUUUUCAGGGAGGGUAGACCUGAAGCUUUCUUUGUACACACUGACACAAGA